GACGAACGCUGGCGGCGUGCCUAAUACAUGCAAGUUGAGCGCUGAAGGUUGGUACUUGUACCCACUGGAUGAGCAGCGAACGGGUGAGUAACGCGUGGGGAAUCUGCCUUUGAGCGGGGGACAACAUUUGGAAACGAAUGCUAAUACCGCAUAAAAACUUUAAACACAAGUUUUAAGUUUGAAAGAUGCAAUUGCAUCACUCAAAGAUGAUCCCGCGUUGUAUUAGCUAGUUGGUGAGGUAAAGGCUCACCAAGGCGAUGAUACAUAGCCGACCUGAGAGGGUGAUCGGCCACAGUGGGACUGAGACACGGCCCAAACGCCUACGGGAGGCAGCAGUAGGGAAUCUUCGGCAAGGGACGAAAGUCUGACCGAGCAACGCCGCGGGAGUGAAGAAGGGUGUCGGAUCGUAAAACUCUGUUGGUAGAGAAGAACGUUAGUGAGAGUGGAAAGCUCAUCAAGUGACGGUAACUACCCAGAAAGGGACGGCUAACUACGUG
This 497-nucleotide ribosomal RNA is filed under the name uncultured bacterium. RNAcentral's name for it is "partial 16S ribosomal RNA". It matches the Rfam family "Bacterial small subunit ribosomal RNA", at positions 28 to 507 of the family's 1533-position model. The record is from RNAcentral.